This 468-nucleotide ribosomal RNA is filed under the name uncultured bacterium. Its description in RNAcentral is "partial 16S ribosomal RNA". It matches the Rfam family "Bacterial small subunit ribosomal RNA", at positions 28 to 507 of the family's 1533-position model. The record is from RNAcentral.
GACGAACGCUGGCGGCGUGCUUAACACAUGCAAGUCGAACGGAAAGGCCCUGCUUUUGUGGGGUGCCCGAGUGGCGAACGGGUGAGUAACACGUGAGUAACCUGCCCUUGACUUUGGGAUAACCUCAGGAAACUGGGGCUAAUACCGGAUAGGAGCUCCUGCUGCAUGGUGGGGGUUGGAAAGUUUCGGCGGUUGGGGAUGGACUCGCGGCUUAUCAGUUUGUUGGUGGGGUAGUGGCUUACCAAGGCUUUGACGGGUAGCCGGCCUGAGAGGGUGACCGGCGACAAUAGUACUGAGAUAGGGCGCAGACUCCUACGGGAGGCAACAGUGGGGAGUAUUGCACAAUGGGCGGAAGCCUGAUGCAGAGACGCCGCGUGCGGAAUGACGGCCUUCGGGUUGUAAACCGCAUUCGCCUGUGACGAAGCGUGAGUGACGGUAAUGGGUAAAGAAGCACCGGCUAACUACGUG